AUGGCUCAGUGGUUAAGAGUACUGGCUGCUGUCCCAGAGGACCUGGGUUCAAUUCCUAGU
Molecule: transfer RNA, 60 nt
Filed under: Mesocricetus auratus (golden hamster)
Lineage: Eukaryota; Metazoa; Chordata; Mammalia; Rodentia; Cricetidae
Rfam family: tRNA
About the family: Transfer RNA (tRNA) molecules are approximately 80 nucleotides in length. Their secondary structure includes four short double-helical elements and three loops (D, anti-codon, and T loops).
Source: Rfam by way of RNAcentral